UUUCCUACGGGGNGGSCUGCAGUAGGGAAUCUUCCGCAAUGGACGAAAGUCUGACGGAGCAACGCCGCGUGAGUGAUGAAGGUUUUCGGAUCGUAAAGCUCUGUUGUUAGGGAAGAACAAGUACCGUUCGAAUAGGGCGGUACCUUGACGGUACCUAACCAGAAAGCCACGGCUAACUACGUGCCAGCAGCCGCGGUAAUACGUAGGUGGCAAGCGUUGUCCGGAAUUAUUGGGCGUAAAGGGCUCGCAGGCGGUUUCUUAAGUCUGAUGUGAAAGCCCCCGGCUCAACCGGGGAGGGUCAUUGGAAACUGGGGAACUUGAGUGCAGAAGAGGAGAGUGGAAUUCCACGUGUAGCGGUGAAAUGCGUAGAGAUGUGGAGGAACACCAGUGGCGAAGGCGACUCUCUGGUCUGUAACUGACGCUGAGGAGCGAAAGCGUGGGGAGCGAACAGGAUUAGAUACCCCGKGGUAGUCAAG
This 476-nucleotide ribosomal RNA is filed under the name Bacillus subtilis. RNAcentral describes it as "bacterial SSU rRNA". Lineage: Bacteria; Bacillati; Bacillota; Bacilli; Caryophanales; Bacillaceae. The record is from RNAcentral.